GGACUACAAGGGUAUCUAAUCCUGUUCGCUCCCCACGCUUUCGCUCCUCAGCGUCAGUUCCGGCCCAGACCACCGCCUUCGCCACUGGUGUUCCUCCUGAUAUCUGCGCAUUUCACCGCUACACCAGGAAUUCCAUGGUCCCCUACCGGACUCAAGCCAUAGCAGUAUCGACUGGCCGCUCCAGGUUGAGCCUGGAGAUUUCACAACCGACUUGCUAAGCCGCCUACGAGCUCUUUACGCCCAAUAAUUCCGGACAACGCUCGCCCCCUACGUAUUACCGCGGCUGCUGGCAC
This 293-nucleotide ribosomal RNA is filed under the name uncultured bacterium. Its description in RNAcentral is "partial 16S ribosomal RNA". The record is from RNAcentral.